This 253-nucleotide ribosomal RNA is filed under the name uncultured bacterium. Its description in RNAcentral is "partial 16S ribosomal RNA". It matches the Rfam family "Bacterial small subunit ribosomal RNA", at positions 524 to 776 of the family's 1533-position model. The record is from RNAcentral.
CACGUAGGCACCAAGCGUUGUCCGGAUUUAUUGGGCGUAAAGCGUGCGCAGGCGGUUGUGCAAGACAGAUGUGAAAUCCCCGGGCUCAACCUGGGAACUGCAUUUGUGACUGCACGGCUGGAGUGCGGCAGAGGGGGAUGGAAUUCCGCGUGUAGCAGUGAAAUGCGUAGAUAUGCGGAGGAACACCGAUGGCGAAGGCAAUCCCCUGGGCCUGCACUGACGCUCAUGCACGAAAGCGUGGGGAGCAAACAGG